AUUGAACGCUGGCGGCAUGCCUUACACAUGCAAGUCGAACGCGAAAGGGGGGCAACUCCCGAGUAGAGUGGCGAACGGGUGAGUAAUACAUCGGAACAUUUCCUGUAGUGGGGGAUAACUUCGAGAAAUCGAAGCUAAUACCGCGUACGUCCUACGGGAGAAAGCAGGGGAUCGCAAGACCUUGCGCUAUAGGAGUGGCCGAUGUCGGAUUAGCUAGUUGGCGGGGUAAAAGCCCACCAAGGCGACGAUCCGUAGCUGGUCUGAGAGGAUGAUCAGCCACACUGGGACUGAGACACGGCCCAGACUCCUACGGGAGGCAGCAGUGGGGAAUUUUGGACAAUGGGCGCAAGCCUGAUCCAGCCAUGCCGCGUGAGUGAAGAAGGCCU
This 386-nucleotide ribosomal RNA is filed under the name uncultured bacterium. RNAcentral describes it as "bacterial SSU rRNA". It matches the Rfam family "Bacterial small subunit ribosomal RNA", at positions 30 to 417 of the family's 1533-position model. The record is from RNAcentral.